GUAAGAUCUACAUAUGUGUCCUAAGCAACAGACUGUAUGUGAGGUUUUGCUGCAGAAUGAGAUGAUGUUCUUAAAAACACUCCUUAUGCUACCUUGGAAAUAUGGUGUUUGUGGGUAGGCAAUCUGCUUGCAGUUUAUUUGCUGUUUGGAAGAAGUGACAAAGAAGAACAGAUGCUUUUUCUUUUGCUGUUUCAGUGGAAUAAUUCCAGAGAAGUUUGGAAAGCAGUGAUGAAAUCUUAAGAUUUCAGAGAAAUGUUGCAGAAGAUUCUUCCAUGAUGCACAAGACUUGGAAAGAAGCUUCCAGUUGAACAAAAUAAAGCAAACAGAUAAACUCCCACAAGUUCUGGGGGAGAAAGAGGUGAAUGAUUUCAACCUCAAACAAGUUUGAAACAAUGCUUCUUUAGGUGGUCAUUCAUCAGUUCAAGUAAUUUGGAUUGGGAGAGAAGAAAUCAGAAGUUGUUCCUUAGAACAAGAUGCAAGAAAUGCUGAUGCUUCAAGUAUUAGAAUCACUGAUCUCAGCAGACAGAGAUUUCAAAGCAAAGAUUCCCUGUGUCAUGAAAGGGCCCAGGACAAUCGCA
Molecule: long non-coding RNA, 578 nt
Filed under: Anas platyrhynchos platyrhynchos (common mallard)
Lineage: Eukaryota; Metazoa; Chordata; Aves; Anseriformes; Anatidae
Description: lncRNA (ENSAPLG00000022664.1)
Source: RNAcentral